UAUUUUGUUGGUUUCUAGGAUCNNNGUAAUGAUUAAUAGGGAUAGUUGGGGGCAUUAGUAUUCAAUUGUCAGAGGUGAAAUUCUUGGAUUUAUUGAAGACUAACNNNUGCGAAAGCAUUUGCCAAGGAUGUUUUCAUUAAUCAAGAACGAAAGUUAGGGGAUCGAAGACGAUCAGAUACCGUCGUAGUCUUAACCAUAAACUAUGCCGACUAGGGAUCGGAUGA
RNAcentral lists this ribosomal RNA (224 nucleotides) under uncultured fungus. RNAcentral describes it as "partial small subunit ribosomal RNA". It matches the Rfam family "Eukaryotic small subunit ribosomal RNA", at positions 837 to 1060 of the family's 1831-position model. Lineage: Eukaryota; Fungi. The record is from RNAcentral.